UCAGAGGGGAGCUGGAAGGGAAGCGUUGGGAUAAUAUUAGGGUCCACAGAUUUUUGAGAUCAUUAACUAUAUGGAAGAUAGCAAUUAAGGAGUGAAAGGGGAAAGGAAUGAUGAUGAAAGAGGAGAAGAUGUAGAAAUAAGGGCAGAAGUGUAUGCGGUAUGGGUGGAAGGCACUAACUGCUUUACAAUAGUCAGACUGACUUACUCAGCAACCCUAAAACUCAAUGUAACGACAUAAAAACAAAAGCCAAAGCACCAGGAGACACACAUGCUCAAGCGCGCAAUCAAGUCUUAGUGAAUGAGGGAUACCUGCCGAAUACUCACGGAGUGGACCCUUGGCACAGCUGUGCUGAGUUGAGAGGCGUGGUUCUCAGAUCCUCUGGCUCCAGCAACUGCACCUGAUGCUUUGUGGGGCAGCGGGAGCGGGAGCCCUUGGCCCCUGCAAUAUCUGUAUUGUAUGCAGUUCUAGUGGGGAAAGAAGCAGGUAUCUUAGUCUUUUCUUGGUAGUUGUUCUGGACCCCUGCCUACUCCGCCGCCCGUAGACUCUUCUGUCCCAGACAAGCAUAGUGUAUGGGAGGAGCUGUGCUAAGCUCCACGCCAGUUCCUACUGUUUUCCCCUAAGCUGCUUAACUUGAACCUGUGGUGCAGAUUCCUGAAGGCUUACAACAGGGUUCUGAUUCUCAACUCUCCCAUCUGCUUUUUUGCGGAGAUCUUCCCUAGUUUAAUAAAUUUGUUUACAGACCUUCUCUCUUGCAGGAUAAAAUUUUACUGCGUAUUAUUUCGACUGUGUUUUUCAUUGAGUUUUAGUGGUGAGACUUCUAACUCACCAUUGUAUUGAGAUGGCCCAUGUCCCUCAGUUAGGGUUUUGUUGCUGUGAAAAGACAUCAUGACCAAGACAACUGUUAUAAAGGAAAACAUUUAACUGGGGCUGGUUUGCAGUUUCAGAGGUUUAGUCCAUUAUUAUCAUGGCAGGAAGCAUGGCAGGCAGACAUGGUCCUGGGGAAGAAGCUGUGAGUUCUACAUCUUGAUCCACGCAGGCAGCAGAAGAAGAUUAUGUGUCACACUUAAGCAUAUAUGAGACCUCAAAGCGCACCUCCACAGUGACACACCUACUCCAACAAGGCCACGCCUCCUAAGAGUGCCUAAAGGCCAGGCAUUGAAACACAUGAGUCUUUGGGGGCCAUACCUAUUCACCACAUCCCAUUUCCCACUUUGGAUGGGUUUGUCACAGAGGUAAGGGUAGGGAUCAAGGAGCAGUAGCAUAUUCCACCAAAGGAAGUGCUGGGUUUCAGACUCAUUUGAAAACCUGCUUCCUUGUCUGCUUGCUAUUGCUCUUAGAUCCAGUUUGGCUGUUUCUUUUAAAUUGCGUUGGGUGAUGACUUCAGCCUCUGUAGUAAGGGUACAAGACUUUCUGAAGGCUUUGUUCUCAUCCAGCCCUUCCCCAGAGACCCCACUUCCUCACACCUACACGCUGAUGACCCCUUGUGAACUUUGCCUGGACACAAACAUUCAGCCCACUACAACAUACACUUUUGAAUAUGUACAAUAGUUACAUGUAAGUAUUAUACUUUUAACCAAGUUCCUCUUUUCCUUCUUCACCCUUUUGUUCUCUAAUAUUUUUAGUUAAAUUGUUUAAAAAUAAUUUCUGUUUAUAUCUUAUGGGUUUUCCAAGGCCUCACAUAGAGGCAAAUGCAUACUUGAACUUUUGCUCCCCUUCUUUGUUCGCACCAAGGUCUCACCUCAUUUUUCUUUUGAUGAGAUCUUAUAGAGCUCACUCUGAAUAAAACACUGGGCUCAACCUGGUUUUUAUUUCAUUUUCUCUUUUCUUGCUUUGUAUUUUUAGAUCAGGCUGGAUUUGAACCAACAGAGAUGUGCCCGCUUCUGCCUUCUGAGUGCUGGGACUAAAGAUAUAUGCCACCAUGCCUGGUUUCAUUGUGAUUUUAUCUGCCUGGUGUUUUGCUUUUAUAUGUAUCUGUGUGGCACUUGCAUGUCUGGUGCCAGUGGAGGCCAGGUCAGGUAGUAAGGUCCCCUGGAACUCAAGUUAAGGACAGUUGUAAGCUACCAUGUGGGUGCUGGGAAUCAAACUCAGAUCUUCUGGGUCUUAACCACUGAGCCAUCUUUCCAGUCCCAUCAGCCUAAUAUUUUUUAAAUAGUUGUCCAGUUUUCCAUUAUUAUAUUCCUCUUUAAUAGAUACUUCAAAAUCAUUUUCUUUUUAACAUCACUGGUAUACAUAAUGCUCUAAAGAGUAGUUUUGGUCAUGUGUUGAAGUAGAAGUUUCUGGUAUACAUAAUGCUCUAAAGAGUAGUUUUGGUCAUGUGUUGAAGUAGAAGUUUCUGGUAUACAUAAUGCUCUAAAGAGUAGUUUUGGUCAUGUGUUGAAGUAGAAGUUUCUGGAUAUGUCAUGUGAUGCAGACUACUGGUAUGUUCUGCUGUUACAGACUCACCUGGUGUCUUGCUAAGACAAGACUCCUGGGAGGACACUGAUGUUUGGAGAGAGUAUAAAUAGGACUCAACAGACAGUGACAGUGCACUUGCAUUGGUAGCUUGGCAACACUUUGUUGGUCUCCCAUCUUUGCUGAUCUUUACUUCUUUGAGAGAGGUCUGCAGAGAAAUCGUUCUGGCAUCCUGGCUGAUUCUGAUGCCUGGCUGUUUCUGCUGGAUCGUGCAACCACUGCUGAUUUGUUUUUGAUAUCCUGACACUACUGAUGGGGACUGCUGGUAUCCUGACAAACAGAGGUUGGAAUUGCCUCAAAGAACUAUUUCUAAACAGGUCCAUAUACCCUUGUCCUGUUUACCAUCUUUUCUUCCCUACCUUUGGAUGGUGGGCUAGAAGUGGGGGGGGGGGGUCAAAGCAUUUGAAGCCCGUUAUUUAAGGUAGAUUUUUUAAAAACCUAAGCCUACAAUGUGUUGUUUUUGUAUUUGCUUCAUUAAAGUUACAGAAGUGUGGUUUCUGGAC
Molecule: long non-coding RNA, 2955 nt
Filed under: Mus musculus (house mouse)
Lineage: Eukaryota; Metazoa; Chordata; Mammalia; Rodentia; Muridae
Description: long non-coding RNA chr16:43682102-43685057
Source: RNAcentral